Cervus elaphus (red deer) is the source of this 779-nucleotide long non-coding RNA. RefSeq lists it as uncharacterized. The transcript is spliced from 3 exons. NCBI's taxonomy places the organism in Eukaryota, Metazoa, Chordata, Mammalia, Artiodactyla, Cervidae. The record is from RefSeq and is a predicted model, not a curated record.
UGUCUUUAUAAUCCUAUUUGCCCUUUCGGUAUCUGCAAGUUCCCACUCUGAAGAUCCGGUCCACCGCUUUUCCAUGUCUUGCCCGGACAAGCCCCACGUGGUCUGGCUACUAGCCGCUCCGCUGGGUCUAAACUCAAAAGGGUCAAGGAGGCCAUCCCCCUGCGGCCGGCGAGUCCAGGAGCGCGGCCCCCGAGGCCUCCACGGCUCCGCGAGGCGUGUCGGCGGGUCAGGGGCGCGGUGAGAAUUCACUGCAGGGACCGGCUAGUCCUGGGCCCCACCUUCUCAGGGUCGGAUAGGACCCCAUCUUCAAGUCACUGAAGAAACCAAGUCCCCUCCUGACUGAGAGUCAUCUGUGCCCAGCAGCCCUGCGCUGGGAGAAGAACCGCGCCAGUGACCCAGGGUGUGGACGGGAGCUUCUCUGACCUGAAUCCAAACCCGCUCCCUGAUGGGAGGCCGAGGAGUUCAGCUGUGGGCCUCGGUCACCCAGCGAGGGGCCUCAGGUGUCGAUGCAGUGUCUGCUACGUGUCUGACCAGCUCUAAGCACUGGGAACAAAGCCAUGAACAAAACAGAAAAGUCCCUCCUGGAGGAGCAUCCAUCCUAAUUCAGAGACAAAGGCUGACGUCAGUCGGUAAAAGAAACAGUGUGUCAGGGGCUGUUUGGUGCUUUGGUGAGAAAUACAGCAGGGAGGUGACUGAGGGUUGUGGGAUGUGGGUCAGCUCAGUUCAGUUCAGUCGCUCAGUCGUGUCCGACUCUUUGCAAGCCCAAGGACUGCAGCAUG